RNAcentral lists this ribosomal RNA (253 nucleotides) under uncultured bacterium. RNAcentral describes it as "partial 16S ribosomal RNA". It matches the Rfam family "Bacterial small subunit ribosomal RNA", at positions 524 to 776 of the family's 1533-position model. The record is from RNAcentral.
GACGAAGGGGGCUAGCGUUGUUCGGAAUUACUGGGCGUAAAGGGCGCGUAGGCGGUUCGUUAAGUCCUGUGUGAAAUCCCCCGGCUCAACUGGGGAACUGCACAGGAAACUAGCGGGCUUGAGUUCGGGAGAGGGAUGCGGAAUUCCAGGUGUAGCGGUGAAAUGCGUAGAUAUCUGGAGGAACACCGGUGGCGAAGGCGGCAUCCUGGACCGGCAUUGACGCUGAGGCGCGAAAGCCAGGGGAGCAAACGGG